GAUGAAGAACGUAGCGAAAUGCGAUAAGUAGUGUGAAUUGCAGAAUUCAGUGAAUCAUCGAAUCUUUGAACGCACAUUGCGCCCCUUGGUAUUCCAUGGGGCAUGCCUGUUCGAGCGUCAUUUGUACCUUCAAGCUUUGCUUGGUGUUGGGUGUUUGUCUCGCCUUUGCGUGUAGACUCGCCUUAAAAUAAUUGGCAGCCGGCGUAUUGAUUUCGGAGCGCAGUACAUCUCGCGCUUUGCACUCAUAACGACAGCGUCCAAAAGUACAUUUUACACUCUUGACCUCGGAUCAGGUAGGGAUACCUGCUGAACUUAAGCAUAUCAAUAAGCGGAGGA
RNAcentral lists this unclassified non-coding RNA (336 nucleotides) under soil metagenome. RNAcentral describes it as "partial contains 5.8S ribosomal RNA, internal transcribed spacer 2, and large subunit ribosomal RNA". The stretch from base 1 to 120 matches the Rfam family "5.8S ribosomal RNA", at positions 35 to 154 of the family's 154-position model. The record is from RNAcentral.